CGUGUAGGCGGACCAAUCAGUCAGGGGUGAAAGCCAUGGGCUCAACCUGUGAACUGCCUUUGAUACUGUUGGUCUAGAGUUCGUGAGAGGAUAGCGGAAUACCCAGUGUAGAGGUGAAAUUCGUAGAUAUUGGGUAGAACACCAGUGGCGAAGGCGGCUAUCUGGCACGAUACUGACGCUGAGGCGCGAAAGCGUGGGGAGCAAACA
Molecule: ribosomal RNA, 207 nt
Filed under: uncultured bacterium
Lineage: Bacteria
Description: partial 16S ribosomal RNA
Rfam family: Bacterial small subunit ribosomal RNA
Source: RNAcentral